CCGGAAUUAUUGGGCGUAAAGCGUUCGUAGGCGGUUUGUUAAGUCUGGAGUUAAAGACUGGGGCUCAACCCCAGCCCGCUCUGGAUACUGGCUGACUAGAGUUACAUAGAGGUAAGUGGAAUUCUUAGUGGAGCGGUGGAAUGCGUAGAUAUUAGGAAGAACACCAAUGGCGAAGGCAGCUUACUGGAUGUACACUGACGCUCAGGGACGAAAGCGUGGGGAGCAAACAGGAUUAGAUACCCUGGUAGUCCACGCCGUAAACGAUGAUCAUUAGCCGCUAGAAUAUUUAGUGGCGCAGCUAACGCRUUAAAUGAUCCGCCUGAGUAGUAUGCUCGCAAGAGUGAAACUUAAAGGAAUUGACGGGGACCCGCACAAGCGGUGGAGCAUGUGGUUUAAUUUGAAGAUACGCGUAGAACCUUACCCACUCUUGACAUCUUCCGCAAUACUAUGGAGACAUAGUGGAGGUUAACGGAAUGACAGAUGGUGCAUGGUUGUCGUCAGCUCGUGCCGUGAGGUGUUAGGUUAAGUCCUGCAACGAGCGCAACCCCUGUCUUUAGUUACUAACGGAUAAUGCCGAGGACUCUAGAGAGACUGACUGGGUAACCAGUAGGAAGGUGGGGACGACGUCAAAUCAUCAUGCCUCUUACGAGUGGGGCAACACACGUGCUACAAUGGACGGUACAAAGAGAAGCAAUAUGGUGACAUGGAGCAGACCUCAAAAAACCGUUCCCAGUUCGGAUUGAAGUCUGAAACUCGACUUCAUGAAGUUGGAAUCGCUAGUAAUCGUAGAUCAGCUACGCUACGGUGAAUACGUUCUCGGGUCUUGUACACACCGCCCGUC
This 841-nucleotide ribosomal RNA is filed under the name uncultured Mycoplasma sp. Its description in RNAcentral is "bacterial SSU rRNA". It matches the Rfam family "Bacterial small subunit ribosomal RNA", at positions 545 to 1398 of the family's 1533-position model. Lineage: Bacteria; Bacillati; Mycoplasmatota; Mollicutes; Mycoplasmatales; Mycoplasmataceae. The record is from RNAcentral.